Molecule: ribosomal RNA, 549 nt
Filed under: Carcharhinus sorrah (spottail shark)
Lineage: Eukaryota; Metazoa; Chordata; Chondrichthyes; Carcharhiniformes; Carcharhinidae
Description: partial 12S ribosomal RNA
Source: RNAcentral
UGGCACAAACUUAGACACAUCCCACUAUAUUGUCCGCCAGAGUACUACAAGCGCUAGCUUAAAACCCAAAGGACUUGGCGGUAUCCCAUACCCACCUAGAGGAGCCUGUUCUAUAACCGAUAAUCCCCGUUCUACCUCCACCACUUCUUGCCAUUACCGUCUAUAUACCGCCGUCGUCAGCCCACCCUGUGAAGGAUCAAAAGUAAGCAAAAAGAAUAAAACUCCAAAACGUCAGGUCGAGGUGUAGCAAAUGAAGUGGGAAGAAAUGGGCUACAUUUUUUUCUAAAAACACACGAACGGUAAACUGAAAACACACCUAAAGGUGGAUUUAGCAGUAAGAGGAGAUCAGAAUACUCCCCUGAAAUCGGCUCUGGGAUAAGCACACACCGCGAACUCACCCUCAAGUCUCGGUGUUCUCCCCGGGUUGUGUUUUUUUUGGGGGGGGAGGAAUAUCAUGGGGGGGGGGGGGGGGGGAGAAACCCCGCCAGUGUCUGUGGGGGGGGGGGGGGGGGGUUAAAUACUAACACAGAGGUUACAAAAUAUAAUGUC